Molecule: ribosomal RNA, 429 nt
Filed under: Gemmatimonadota bacterium
Lineage: Bacteria; Pseudomonadati; Gemmatimonadota
Description: Gemmatimonadetes bacterium partial 16S ribosomal RNA
Rfam family: Bacterial small subunit ribosomal RNA
Source: RNAcentral
UAGGGAAUCUUCGGCAAUGGACGAAAGUCUGACCGAGCAACGCCGCGUGAGUGAAGAAGGUUUUCGGAUCGUAAAACUCUGUUGUUAGAGAAGAACAAGGACGUUAGUAACUGAACGUCCCCUGACGGUAUCUAACCAGAAAGCCACGGCUAACUACGUGCCAGCAGCCGCGGUAAUACGUAGGUGGCAAGCGUUGUCCGGAUUUAUUGGCCGUAAAGCGAGCGCAGGCGGUUUCUUAAGUCUGAUGUGAAAGCCCCCGGCUCAACCGGGGAGGGUCAUUGGAAACUGGGAGACUUGAGUGCAGAAGAGGAGAGUGGAAUUCCAUGUGUAGCGGUGAAAUGCGUAGAUAUAUGGAGGAACACCAGUGGCGAAGGCGGCUCUCUGGUCUGUAACUGACGCUGAGGCUCGAAAGCGUGGGGAGCAAACAGG